AUCUCUCUCCUCGCCCCUACCUUCUCUCUCUAUCUCUUUGUUUGAUCUAAAGGAGGGAGACAAAACCCUAACCCUAUCACAACCACGCCCCCAUGAAAUCUAGUCGCCGGAUUCUAUCCAGAGACGAGAAAUCCAGCCAACGAACAUCGAAUCCAACAAAUUUCCUUUGUGUUGGAGAUUAAUGCUAAUCCUCACAGAUACUUGCGAAAUCUUGCUCGAUUUCAGCCAUGAAUCGGCUAAAAUCAUCUACAAAUGCAUCAAAACAAGUUGCUGAAAAUCUGAACUCGCAGGUGAUUAAUGAAACUCUAUGGAUGGCGAAUAUUAUCAAUGGGGUAUGGAGAAAAGAUUGAAGGUAUUUGUGAUGGUUUAUAAGCUUCAGAGAUGCAAUGUAUAUCAUUGGAUGCAUGUGAAUAAGUGUGUUACUGAUCCUGCCUAAAUCUGAUAGAAGUCAUAAAAUUUUAACGAUACUUCAGAGAUGCAAUGUAUAUCAUUGGUGCAUGCAUAUGUAGACGCCUGGUUUUUUGUUGUUCCUUCACAUGGGUAAGGUUCCUUGUUUGUUUGAUUUUUUUUUUUUAGUUCUGUCUUCACAGGGCUAAGGUUCCCUGUUUGUUUGAUUAGAGUACCCAUUAAAAAGAGAAAGAGCAAAGUAUAUGCAAAAAAAUGCUCAGCAUUUGCUCCCUCCAUAUGCUCGUAGGUGUCUUAUGCUUACAUCAUCUGAAAUUUCUUGUGGUUUCUACUUAAUUUUUGCUGCAAUCAGUUGUUUGAGUUGCUGUAAUACUAAUAUCACAUGGGCAGAAUAGUCGAUCGUCCUAGUUGGGUUAGCAUAUGAAAAGGGAAGAUGCUCUGUAAGAUGUCAUGAGCAUUUUCAUGCUAGUCUCUUGCUAUUGUCUUGUCAUCAUGUCUAAGAAAAUGUAGUCCUCAGGAGAAGCUCUGCAUUCUGCUGAGCCUCAAUUUCCUUGUCUUUGUCAUCCUCU
Magnolia sinica is the source of this 974-nucleotide long non-coding RNA. RefSeq lists it as uncharacterized. The transcript has 3 exons. The record is from RefSeq and is a predicted model, not a curated record. Lineage: Eukaryota; Viridiplantae; Streptophyta; Magnoliopsida; Magnoliales; Magnoliaceae.